This 789-nucleotide long non-coding RNA is filed under the name Homo sapiens (human). RNAcentral's name for it is "LHRI_LNC742.1". Lineage: Eukaryota; Metazoa; Chordata; Mammalia; Primates; Hominidae. The record is from RNAcentral.
CGGGUUUGAAGCAGACGCCGCCGGCCUUGGUGCGCACGAAAUACUCGGUGGUGUCCUCGGGCAGCACCAAGUCCACCCGGUGGAGCUCCUCGGCCGCCUUGCUGGGCGGCAGCGGCUGCAGCAGGGGCGAGUGGGAGUAGAGUGGGGUACGCAGCAGGUCAGGGCCUCCUGGCUCGGGGCUGGCCUGGGGCGUGACCGGGGCAUUGUUCCAGAAAAAGCUGGACACCAGGUUAGGGCUGAGGGAGGCCAGUUCUCGGGGGAAGGUGACAUAGGACAGGGUCUUGAAGAAGUGCAGGAAGGAGAUGAGGCACAGGCCGGCCAUACAGAACAUGAGAAAGAGCUUGUAGCGUCUCAUCUUCAUCCUGCGGGAGAGAGAGAGACAGGAGACUCAUCAGGGCAGCCCAGGCUCCUUUCCUAGGAAGGGGACCUAGGAGGCCUCUGCUGCCACCUUGCUGGACAAUGUGGUGGCCAGCACCUGCUGCCCCUGCAUGGAGUGACCUCCUGCCCCCAAGAGUCAACUCGCGGUACCAAGGCCCCUGAAAGCCCCAGCACUGAGGACACCGCCGUGCUCCCAUAGCCCUUCCCUGAGAUCCCCAGGCCACCACCCUGCCCCCUCUGCAGCCUGCUUCUCCGCCUGGCCCACCCCACCCUGACUGUGCGGCUGCACUGCUAGGCUUGGCUCCAGGAGUAACAUGCGCCUUGGGAAAAGCUCAACUCGCAGUACAGACUCCGCCCCAGGACAGAACGGGGAGAGCAGGCUGUAGGCUGCCCUCCUGGGUCCUGUCCCUC